RNAcentral lists this ribosomal RNA (393 nucleotides) under uncultured bacterium. RNAcentral's name for it is "partial 16S ribosomal RNA". It matches the Rfam family "Bacterial small subunit ribosomal RNA", at positions 523 to 918 of the family's 1533-position model. The record is from RNAcentral.
AUACGGAGGAUCCGAGCGUUAUCCGGAUUUAUUGGGUUUAAAGGGAGCGUAGGCGGACUAUUAAGUCAGCUGUGAAAGUUUGCGGCUCAACCGUAAAAUUGCAGUUGAUACUGGUCGUCUUGAGUGCAGUAGAGGUAGGCGGAAUUCGUGGUGUAGCGGUGAAAUGCAUAGAUAUCACGAAGAACUCCGAUUGCGAAGGCAGCUUACUGGACUGUAACUGACGCUGAUGCUCGAAAGUGUGGGUAUCAAACAGGAUUAGAUACCCUGGUAGUCCACACAGUAAACGAUGAAUACUCGCUGUUUGCGAUAUACGGCAAGCGGCCAAGCGAAAGCAUUAAGUAUUCCACCUGGGGAGUACGCCGGCAACGGUGAAACUCAAAGGAAUUGACGGGG